Molecule: ribosomal RNA, 441 nt
Filed under: uncultured bacterium
Lineage: Bacteria
Description: partial 16S ribosomal RNA
Rfam family: Bacterial small subunit ribosomal RNA
Source: RNAcentral
CCUACGGGUGGCAGCAGUGGGGGAUAUUGCACAAUGGGGGAAACCCUGAUGCAGCGACGCCGCGUGGGUGAAGAAGUAUUUCGGUAUGUAAAGCCCUAUCAGCAGGGAAGAAAGAAGACGGUACCUGACUAAGAAGCCCCGGCUAACUACGUGCCAGCAGCCGCGGUAAUACGUAGGGGGCGAGCGUUAUCCGGAUUCACUGGGUGUAAAGGGAGCGUAGACGGCCGUGCAAGCCAGGAGUGAAAGCCCGGGGCCCAACCCCGGGACUGCUCGUGGAACUGUGCGGCUGGAGUGCGGGAGGGGCAGGCGGAAUUCCUGGUGUAGCGGUGAAAUGCGUAGAUAUCAGGAGGAACACCGGCGGCGAAGGCGGCCUGCUGGACCGCGACUGACGUUGAGGCUCGAAAGCGUGGGGAGCGAACAGGAUUAGAUACCCCAGUAGUC